This 418-nucleotide ribosomal RNA is filed under the name uncultured bacterium. Its description in RNAcentral is "bacterial SSU rRNA". It matches the Rfam family "Bacterial small subunit ribosomal RNA", at positions 362 to 777 of the family's 1533-position model. The record is from RNAcentral.
UAUUGGUCAAUGGGCGCAGGCCUGAACCAGCUAAGUAGCGUGAAGGAUGACUGCCCUAUGGGUUGUAAACUUCUUUUAUAUGGGAAUAAAGUUUUCCACGUGUGGAAUUUUGUAUGUACCAUAUGAAUAAGGAUCGGCUAACUCCGUGCCAGCAGCCGCGGUAAUACGGAGGAUCCGAGCGUUAUCCGGAUUUAUUGGGUUUAAAGGGAGCGUAGGUGGACAGUUAAGUCAGUUGUGAAAGUUUGCGGCUCAACCGUAAAAUUGCAGUUGAUACUGGCUGUCUUGAGUACAGUAGAGGUGGGCGGAAUUCGUGGUGUAGCGGUGAAAUGCUUAGAUAUCACGAAGAACUCCGAUUGCGAAGGCAGCUCACUGGACUGCAACUGACACUGAUGCUCGAAAGUGUGGGUAUCAAACAGGA